Molecule: ribosomal RNA, 265 nt
Filed under: Escherichia coli
Lineage: Bacteria; Pseudomonadati; Pseudomonadota; Gammaproteobacteria; Enterobacterales; Enterobacteriaceae
Description: partial 16S ribosomal RNA
Rfam family: Bacterial small subunit ribosomal RNA
Source: RNAcentral
AAAUUGAAGAGUUUGAUCAUGGCUCAGAUUGAACGCUGGCGGCAGGCCUAACACAUGCAAGUCGAACGGUAACAGAAAGCAGCUUGCUGCUUUGCUGACGAGUGGCGGACGGGUGAGUAAUGUCUGGGAAACUGCCUGAUGGAGGGGGAUAACUACUGGAAACGGUAGCUAAUACCGCAUAAUGUCGAAAGACCAAAGAGGGGGACCUUCGGGCCUCUUGCCAUCGGAUGUGCCCAGAUGGGAUUAGCUAGUAGGUGGGGUAACG